Molecule: non-coding RNA, 247 nt
Filed under: Thermoclostridium stercorarium
Lineage: Bacteria; Bacillati; Bacillota; Clostridia; Eubacteriales; Oscillospiraceae
Description: Clostridium stercorarium T-box sequence
Rfam family: T-box leader
About the family: Uncharged tRNA acts as the effector for transcription antitermination of genes in the T-box leader family.
Source: RNAcentral
GAGAAACCGUUGAACAAGAGAAGUAGGAAUAAUCACUUGCACACAGAGAGCCGUCGGUGGUGAGAGUACGGCUGCAAGCUUAUUCUGAAUGGACUUGUGAGGGAAGCCCGAAAUCGAAAGAGAGUAGGCGCUUACGGGGGCCCUACCCGUUAUCAGCGGGGUGCAUAUGUUGGUAUGCAGGAACGAGUGGGUGCAGUAAUGCGCCAAUUUGGGUGGCACCGCAGAAGCUAAGGCUUUUGUCCCAUUA